Loxodonta africana (African savanna elephant) is the source of this 72-nucleotide transfer RNA. It matches the Rfam family "tRNA". From Rfam's summary of the family: Transfer RNA (tRNA) molecules are approximately 80 nucleotides in length. Their secondary structure includes four short double-helical elements and three loops (D, anti-codon, and T loops). The record is from Rfam. NCBI's taxonomy places the organism in Eukaryota, Metazoa, Chordata, Mammalia, Proboscidea, Elephantidae.
UCCCUGGUUGUGUAGUGGCUAGGAUUCGGCGCUUUAACCGCCGCGGCCAGGGUUCAAUUCCCGGUCAGGGCA